UGUUGGUUUAAUUCGAUGCAACGCGAAAACCUUACCCACCUUUGACAUGUACGGAAUCCUUUAGAGAUAGAGGAGUGCUCGAAAGAGAGCCGUAACACAGGUGCUGCAUGGCUGUCGUCAGCUCGUGUCGUGAGAUGUUGGGUUAAGUCCCGCAACGAGCGCAACCCUUGUCAUUAGUUGCUACGAAAGGGCACUCUAAUGAGACUGCCGGUGACAAACCGGAGGAAGGUGGGGAUGACGUCAAGUCCUCAUGGCCCUUAUGUCCAGGGCUACACACGUGCUACAAUGGUCGCUACAGAGUGACGCGAAGCCGCGAGGUGGAGCAAAUCGCAAAAAAGCGACCUUAGUUCGGAUUGGAGUCUGAAACCCGACUCCAUGAAGGUGGAAUCGCUAGUAAUCGCGCAUCAGCAUGGCGCGGUGAAUACGUUCCCGGGCCUU
This 438-nucleotide ribosomal RNA is filed under the name uncultured Variovorax sp. RNAcentral describes it as "bacterial SSU rRNA". It matches the Rfam family "Bacterial small subunit ribosomal RNA", at positions 940 to 1382 of the family's 1533-position model. The record is from RNAcentral. Lineage: Bacteria; Pseudomonadati; Pseudomonadota; Betaproteobacteria; Burkholderiales; Comamonadaceae.